GAGUUUGAUCCUGGCUCAGAAUCAACGCUGGCGGCGUGCCUAACACAUGCAAGUCGCACGAGAAAGGGGCUUCGGCCCUGAGUACAGUGGCGCACGGGUGAGUAACACGUGAAUAAUCUACCUCCGAGUGGGGAAUAACUGAGAGAAAUCUUAGCUAAUACCGCAUAACACUUACGAGUCAAAGCAGCAAUGCGCUUGGAGAGGAGUUCGCGGCAGAUUAGUUAGUUGGCGGGGUAAUGGCCCACCAAGACGAUGAUCUGUAUCCGGCCUGAGAGGGCGCACGGACACACUGGAACUGAAACACGGUCCAGACUCCUACGGGAGGCAGCAGUGGGGAAUUUUGCGCAAUGGGGGAAACCCUGACGCAGCAACGCCGCGUGGAGGAUGAAAUCCCUUGGGAUGUAAACUCCUUUCGAUAGGGAAGAUAAUGACGGUACCUAUAGAAGAAGCCCCGGCUAACUUCGUGCCAGCAGCCGCGGUAAUACG
Molecule: ribosomal RNA, 486 nt
Filed under: uncultured eubacterium WR8129
Lineage: Bacteria
Description: bacterial SSU rRNA
Rfam family: Bacterial small subunit ribosomal RNA
Source: RNAcentral